UGUCUCCUCUGUCCAUCUCAGCCUCUGACAGCAGUGGCAUACUUCUUUCCUUUUGGUGGCUAAACUUUUGGCAGAGCAGAAACUUCAAGGCUUCUCACAAUGAGCUUCUUCUCAUUCCUGCCAGCAAGUGUUGCCAGAAUAUUUGGUCUGGGCUUCCUUGGAACAUCCUCAUUCUUGGACACCAAGCCAAGUGCUCCACGAAAGUCAAGGUCUCACUUAUCUCAACCAGAAUGGAAGUCCAAUAGCUACUCAUGGGCUCAACAUCACUGCAGAUCUGCACAAAAGAUUUGACCAGCUCCGCUGCUCUCCCUAAGAAAUCUGGUGCCCCAUCCUUAUCCUAGAGGCUCAUCAUAUUGGCACUUUACUUGGUGCACAUAAUCAAUGGCUUUAGCCUUAUUGCUGCUCAGAACUCCUGAACCCAAGCCAGCCUCAGCCUCCCUAGGAGCAGGA
Phascolarctos cinereus (koala) is the source of this 450-nucleotide non-coding RNA. The record is from RefSeq and is a predicted model, not a curated record. NCBI's taxonomy places the organism in Eukaryota, Metazoa, Chordata, Mammalia, Diprotodontia, Phascolarctidae.